This 375-nucleotide ribosomal RNA is filed under the name uncultured eukaryote. RNAcentral's name for it is "partial 18S ribosomal RNA". It matches the Rfam family "Eukaryotic small subunit ribosomal RNA", at positions 592 to 976 of the family's 1831-position model. The record is from RNAcentral.
CAAUAGCGUAUAUUAAAGUUGUUGCAGUUAAAAAGCUCGUAGUUGGAUUUCGGUUAAGAGCGACCGGUCCGCCGUUUGGUGUGCACUGGUUGGUUUUAACUUCCUGUAGAGGACGUGCUCUGGGUUUAACGACCUGGACUCGGAGUCUACGUGGUUACUUUGAAAAAAUUAGAGUGUUCAAAGCGGGCUUACGCUUGAAUAUUUCAGCAUGGAAUAACGCUAUAGGACUCCUGUCCUAUUUCGUUGGUCUCGGGACGGGAGUAAUGAUUAAGAGGAACAGUUGGGGGCAUUCGUAUUUCAUUGUCAGAGGUGAAAUUCUUGGAUUUAUGAAAGACGAACUUCUGCGAAAGCAUUUGCCAAGGAUGUUUUCAUUAA